RNAcentral lists this ribosomal RNA (605 nucleotides) under uncultured bacterium. RNAcentral describes it as "bacterial SSU rRNA". It matches the Rfam family "Bacterial small subunit ribosomal RNA", at positions 67 to 676 of the family's 1533-position model. The record is from RNAcentral.
GGUAGGGUAGCAAUACCUGAGACCGGCGCACGGGUGCGUAACGCAUAUGCAAUCUACCUUUUACAGAGGGAUAGCCCAGAGAAAUUUGGAUUAAUACCUCAUAGUAUGUAUGAGUGGCAUCACUUAUAUAUUAAAGUCACAACGGUAAAAGAUGAGCAUGCGUCCCAUUAGCUAGUUGGUAAGGUAACGGCUUACCAAGGCGACGAUGGGUAGGGGUCCUGAGAGGGAGAUCCCCCACACUGGCACUGAGACACGGACCAGACUCCUACGGGAGGCAGCAGUGAGGAAUAUUGGACAAUGGGCGCAAGCCUGAUCCAGCCAUGCCGCGUGCAGGAAGACGGUCCUAUGGAUUGUAAACUGCUUUUGUACGGGAAGAAACAGCAGUUCGUGAACUGCCUUGACGGUACCGUAAGAAUAAGGAUCGGCUAACUCCGUGCCAGCAGCCGCGGUAAUACGGAGGAUCCAAGCGUUAUCCGGAAUCAUUGGGUUUAAAGGGUCCGUAGGCGGUUUGGUAAGUCAGUGGUGAAAGCCCAUCGCUCAACGGUGGAACGGCCAUUGAUACUGCCAGACUUGAAUUAUUAGGAAGUAACCAGAAUAUGUAGUGU